Molecule: long non-coding RNA, 1223 nt
Organism: Fukomys damarensis (Damara mole-rat)
Lineage: Eukaryota; Metazoa; Chordata; Mammalia; Rodentia; Bathyergidae
Exons: 3
Source: RefSeq, a predicted model, not a curated record
GAAAUGGACCUAUUCACUCCUGCAGAAGGUGCCCCGUCUCAUCACUGGGAAGUGAAUCUGGAAUAGUUUGGAAUUUUCAGUGGUGACUGCAGGGGAGCAGCUGGCAAAUGGAUUGAACUCAGGUCCUUGCACUUGCAAGACAGGCAAUGGAACCACUGAGCUAAAUCCCUGGCUUGAACUUCUUACUGUGUCCAUUUUACAAAGGGGCCUGCAGAGGUACAGAAGGCUACACACUCUGUGGUCAUCCUGUUCCACUGGGCUAUGUGAUAUGUAACUGUUAUCUCAUACGCUGUAUUCACUGAGGUACUGUUCAUGUGAGAAGCAGUUCUGUCACUGGAACUCUGGGUUCUCCAUCUGAUUGCACUGGGCCGGUUGGAUUCGGCCUGACAUUUUCCAUCAGGGUGAGUGAGAUACCAUAGUAACAAACGGUGCCAGCCCAUGCAUGGGGUUGUAGAAGACAUCAACCACUCAGGAGUUUGUAGAACUUAUUGUUUGACCUCUUAAAACACAGGAUCAGUUCUACUUUAAAUGACUUGCAUAAAGAGAAGGGUGUGUUUUGUGUUGUAAACAUUUCAUAUUUUGAGCUUUUGUUUUCACAGAAGAGCAAUUCUGUUUGGACUUGGAUUCAUAACUGAACACUCUGCUUAUAAUUUUAUCCCUUUGAACUUUUGGCUCCACACCUGCCCAACCGUGUUCUUCCUCCACUAUGGCCAUGUUUGAGGUGUUAGAUGAAGUCUUCUCAGAAAGCCUUAAUGAAAUGCUACAGCCUUGGUGGCUUAAACAACAGAAAUUUAUUGUCUUGCAGUUCUGGAGGCUAUGAGUCCAAGAUUGAGCUCGUGGCAGAUGUGGCUUCUCUCGAGGCCUCUCCUUGGCUUGCAGGUGGCCUGCCUCUGCCCGUGUCCUCACACGACCGUUGUCUCUGUGUAUGAACAUCUGGGUGCCUCUUCCUCCUCAAGGACCCUACUCUGUUGGAGUAAGGUUCUGUCCCUAUGGUCUUACUUAAUCUCAAUGACCUCUGCCGUGGCUUGGCUGCUGUUUGAAGCACAGAAGCAGGGUGUCCAGUGAGGUGGUGUUGGGAGGCGCUGGAACCCUUAAGAGGUGGGGCUGGUGCAAGGUAACUAGGUAUUUGGGGUGCAUUACCCUCCAAGUGGGUUGCUGUACUUCCUGAGAGCACAGUUGAUUUCCCCAAGAAUGAACUGCUAUGAAAGAGCAAGCCUGUCCUU